GCCAAGGCUCACACUCUCUCCCACCCAGAACCAUCCAGCAAAGCGACAGAGAAAGAAAGAGAGAGCGGAAGACGCAGAGCUACCGCAUGAGAAGAGCGAGCGAGCAGCCCAGCAAGUUCAACGACCGCCGCACGAGCCCGCGCCACGAUGUGGAGCACCGACUCCAACCUCGACGAGUCCGUGUCGAUGACGAUGGUUGCUACCUCCUCCUUGUCCUCCUCAUAUGCUCCCUGUAGCCGCAGACGCCCCGCCCACCCGCCGCAGAUGAAGCCGUAACCGCCAGCGCACCCAACGCCGGGUCAAGAGCGGCCCGAGGCAGAGGAGUCAGAGGCGGAGGAGGUGUGUGGGUGCGCAGUGGGAGGCGGCAUGACCACGGACGGCGCGGCCGGUGGUGCUCGCCGGGGAAGACAGGGCCCCGGACUGCGCUGGAGCAGGCGCCGGGGAUUCCGGCGUGGGGCGUGCCAGGAGCCUGACGGAGGACGACCUGGAGGAGCUCAAGGGGUGGUGCGUGGAUCUGGGAUUCGAUUUGCAGCAGCAGGCAGAGCAGCAGACCCAGCCCCCCCGGCGAGGAAGCAGAUCCACCACAACAAUGGUGCCACCGCCCCAGAACUGCCGCCGUCACGCUCGCGUCAAGUCACCGGAACCUGCACACCGGCGCCCACCGUUGCGCCCCUGCAUGCCCCGCCUUGCCCCCAACUACGCCUCCGGCCUCGCCUCUGCACAUCUCCACCUGCCAGCCUUGCCUCCGCAUCAGUCGCCAGCGUGCCGCUGCCUCGUGCGGCCUCCUCUGCUCCCAAGAUUUGGUUUAGCCGCUGCCUCGUCCGGCCUCCGUGAAAGUUGCAUGUCGAUUCUGGUUGUCUGGAGUUCCCUUCACUCCCUCUUCUCUCUUGCGGGAUUAAUUCCUUCGUUCUGUUCCCCUCGUUGCUUCAUUAUUUCUGAUGCGGCCAAAUUCGCCUGCGUAUAUAAAUUGAUUGAAUUAGAUGCAGAGGGGCGAGGUGGGACUAAAUCACGACAAGGCAGAUUGAGAAGGUUACGGUGGAGGAGGCCGGAGAGGACUCGCGGCGGCGGACAGGUCACAGCGGCGCAGCGGCUGGAAAGCGAGCAUUUGGAUUAGGGUGGAUCGCGGAUUGAAUUCUUACAAAUGUAGGGAUGUUUUUUGUAAAGAUGAAACAUUUUCUCAUAUUCACUCAAAAAAGGGACUGUGGGUUGAAUUUUGAUAAACACAAUGACUUUUGUGCAAAAGCACCGACAAUGUACGACCAGAAACGCUAGCUGCUUUAUUA
This 1283-nucleotide ribosomal RNA is filed under the name Triticum aestivum (bread wheat). Its description in RNAcentral is "partial small subunit ribosomal RNA". The record is from RNAcentral. Lineage: Eukaryota; Viridiplantae; Streptophyta; Magnoliopsida; Poales; Poaceae.